Molecule: RNA transcript, 4932 nt
Organism: Physeter macrocephalus (sperm whale)
Lineage: Eukaryota; Metazoa; Chordata; Mammalia; Artiodactyla; Physeteridae
Gene: MARS2
Gene name: methionyl-tRNA synthetase 2, mitochondrial
Exons: 7
Source: RefSeq, a predicted model, not a curated record
CACCUCCGCCGCUUCAUCUCCGCAGGCAUCAUGCUGCGGAUUUCUGCCUUUCGGCUGCUAGGACGCACGGGGGCGAGUAGGCUCUCGCUCCUGGAGGACUUUAGCUUACGCCACUACAGUUCGGACCCUCUCGGUGUCCAGGACGAUACCCGCGACGCGCGCGCCUAUUUCACCACACCCAUCUUCUACGUGAACGCGGCGCCGCACAUCGGGCACCUGUACUCGGCGGUACUGGCUGACGCCCUGUGCCGAUACCAUCGCCUCCGAGUUCCCAGCGCCGCCGCCACGCGAUUCUCCACUGGUACUGAUGAGCACGGCCUCAAGAUUCAGCAGGCAGCAGCCGCUGCGGGCCUGGCUCCGUCCGAGCUGUGCGACAGAGUCUCUGCCCAGUUCCAGCAGCUUUUCCGGGAGGCUGACAUCUCCUCCACCGACUUUAUCCGCACCACUGAGGCCCGGCAUCGGAUGGCUGUGCAGCAUUUCUGGGGGGUGCUGAAGGCUCGGGGUCUUCUCUACAAGGGGCUCUAUGAAGGUUGGUAUUGCGCCUCUGACGAGUGCUUCCUGCCUGAAGCCAAGGUCACCAGGCAGCCCGGUCCGUCGGGGGAUUUGUGUCCUGUAUCUCUGGAGAGCGGGCAUCCCGUCUCCUGGACCAAGGAAGAAAACUACAUUUUCAGGCUUUCCCAGUUCCGGGAGCCGCUCCAGCGGUGGCUGCGGGGCGACCCUCAGGCCAUCACCCCGGAGCCAUUCCAUCACGCAGUCCUUCAGUGGCUGGAAGAGGAGCUGCCGGACCUAUCCGUCUCUCGAAGGAGUAGCCACUUGCACUGGGGCAUUCCGGUGCCCGGGGACGAUUCGCAGACCAUCUACGUAUGGCUGGAUGCCUUGGUCAACUACCUUACUGUAAUUGGCUACCCAAACGCUGAGUUCAAAUCUUGGUGGCCCACCACCUCUCAUAUCAUAGGCAAGGACAUUCUCAAAUUCCAUGCUGUCUAUUGGCCUGCCCUCCUCUUAGGGGCCGGCAUGAGCCCACCACACCGCAUCUAUGUUCACUCCCACUGGACGGUCUGUGGUCAAAAGAUGUCUAAGAGCUUGGGCAACGUGGUGGAUCCCAGGACAUGCCUUGACCGCUAUACUGUGGAUGGUUUCCGCUACUUUCUCCUUCGUCAGGGCGUCCCCAACUGGGACUGUGAUUACUAUGGUGAAAAGGUGGUUAAGUUGUUGGAUUCCGAGCUGGCAUUUGCUUUGGGAGGUCUCUUGAACCGAUGCACUGCCAACAGAAUAAAUCCUUCUGGGACCUAUCCGGCUUUUUGCACUACCUGCUUUCCCAGUGAGCCAGGGUUGGUGGGGCCAUCAGGUCGUGCUCAGGCAGAGGACUAUGCUCUGGUGAUGGUGAAGGGAGGAAAUGAUCAAUGCUCCAGGAAUCUCAAACUGGAUUUAGGGAUCUCUCCAAGGCUCCAUAAGAGAACAUCACAGAGAAGAUGUUAAGGUAUCAACUUAUACAAUGACUACAACAUAGUAAGCCAGCAUUAUAUCUCAUAGGUGAUUGGACAGCUAGGGCAAAGUUUAAAAUGAGAACUUGCCUUGAGAUAUCCAUUCUAAGCAUGGUAGCAAGCAGAGAGGGCUCAUCAUGAAGUAAACUGUGCUGGUAGUUCCCCCAGAUUUAUUCUGAGUGCUACUGUUCAGCUCCAAUUUCUGUUUAUUAGUUGGUGUGGCGAGAGAUUUCUGGUUGCUUGGAAACAUUGCUUAGAAAAGAAUGCUUGAAGGCAUUCUAAAGGUGGAAGGACCAUUUCUACCAGUGUUCCUUUAGAUCCUCCUUAUUCUUCAUAAUGGAAUCCUGGGCUUUCCAUAUGACAUAUUCCAGUUACCUGCUGGGAUUACUAGGGUAGAUUACUGGGACCUAGGAUGGAGUGUAAUAUCUCAGGACUGGAUAGCAGAGUAGUGAAAGAGAUGGGAUGUGUUUACAUGGAUGAAGGAAAACAGACUUGGAAAACCAGCAUUGGUAACUUCUGCCUUCGAAGUGCCAUUAUAAGUCUUAGAGUUCCUAUCAUGAACGGAGGGACAGUGUCUUCCACUUGAAUGAUCUUUCCUAUGGCCUAACGCUGGUCAGUACACUGGACAUUGGCUUACUGGGUAUUAAUAGAGUUCCUUUUGUGCAGUCUGUCAUUUGUGUAGGCACUUAACUUCUACCAGAGUAUUUGUGGUACUGGAGGACACAGGAAAACAGGCAAACCAAAGAGGAGAGGGCAUAAUUUUUACAGAAGACAGGAUAUUUUAAGUGAAGAAGUGUGGUAAGUUGGAUAUGACUUAUUCUGUGGUGAUAUGGAAGAUGAACCAGUUGGAUUCUCUGUAGGAGGCAAAACAGGUAAAGCAAAUACCCUUUGGGUACUGAAGUGAUGUGUUAUUUAAUCCAGCAGUUUAAGAAUGGCAAGUGGAGGAUAGGUGAGACUUAAAACUGGCAGGGAUGCACUUCCAAGAGAGGACAUCCUAACCACUUGUGGGAGAAGAUGAUGAUAAACUUGUAGACAUCUAAGAAGUCCCCUAUUCCAGAAUUGCUAACACCUUAUCUGGCAUCUUGUGGGUUCCUUGACCAGAAAGGAAGUUUCUCCCAAGUACUACCCUAAGGCUGUCAAAUAUUCAUUUUAGAGUAUUCUUGGAGGCAGUGUUGCAUGAGUGAUAGAGCACUGUUCAGGUGUUCAUGGAAUAUCACGUUAAAGUAAUAAUAAGCUGUCAACCCAGUAGACUACAGUCUACUAUGAAGUCAUGCAAGAAGUUGUGGGCAAUGUAUACGUGUGGCACCAUUGUAUAUUAGAGGGCUAUUCCACAAGUGAACUCGUAGAUUAGGCACCUCAGAAGUCAGAAGACCUAUGGCUAUAUGGAGGUCAAGAAUAGGCAGGAACAAGAAAUAGUUACAGUCUCAUUUCAUUGAAAUCUCACACUUAUUCUGGAAGUAGGCCUCAUUAUUUUUCUUAAGCACCUGUGUGACUCUAUAAGGGCUGAGAAGAGCCUGAUAAAUUGAAUUUUAAGUUGAUGCACUCAAGAAGGCAUAGGCUGGGACAUGGGCGCCAAGGCACAGGCCUUUUUUCUUUUUCCCCUAUAGCUGUAUCUAUGAUUGGCACAUAACUCUUUAGAUCUGGGAAGUUCCGAAAUUGAAGUAAAGUUGGUCAGGUUGUGGGCCUCCAACUAGGAAGACUUAUAAUCAUGAAGUAGCUUGGGUAGCAGGUGGCAGUACCAACUACUCAACAGAUUACUCCUUGGGCAUUAUGGUAGGGAAGGUUUCCUGGCUCUCUGCUUCACCCCUAAGUGAGUGUGUAGUUGCAGUGUUGGCCUGCAUUAGUGUAACCUUGAGUUACAGUGGGGAAGCAGUCAUGCCUCUUGACUAAGACUUGGUCUAUAAAGCUGCUGUCUGACAAUCUAUAAUUGCCUCCUAGAGGCAGUCCCCCCCUAUCCAUAGUUCUACCAGAUGGAGAACAACUGUUCUUGCUGGUAAGGUCUGGGAUGCUGUAAACCUUGAUGGGUCCUUGCCCUCAUCUUUUGCCAGAAUGAGUAAUAUCAGUGGAUCUGAAAAGGUAUGGACCUACUGGCAGUCAUGUGUCUAUUUUUGCUGAGAGAGCCUGGGGGGAGCUAGGGCACAGGUCGAGGUAACCAAGAGUACAAGUUAGAGGGUUCAGUUCUAGAACAAAGCCUUGGAGCCCCUUGCAAAACUAAGACAGUAUGAAAUAUGUCAUUUCAGCACAACACAGCUGGCCCUGCCCCUUCUUGUAGGAGCUUUGGAUAGGACUGGUUAACUUCUAUCAAUAGGAACACCCUAAAUUUGGAGGUUAACAUUGCUGGAAGGGCCAGAACAGUAACAACCAAGUUAAUUAAGGUUAAUUAGUGGGGAUUUUAGCCUUUCAAGAAGAGGGUCUUAUUCUUUUUUGAGAUAGAGGAUAGGAGAAGCCCCAGCCUAAGGUGCUUUCUUCUAUCAUCCAGAACUACUUUGAGCUGAGAGGAAGGGACUAACCAGUGUUGGCCUGCAUUAGUGUAACCUUAGAGGUGAAACUGACUUAUUUUUAGGUAGUCCUGGGUUAUCCAGUAUAGAUCCUCUGAAUUAAGGGGAACCAUCUAACGGAAUAGUUGACCAUAUGUAAAAUACCUUGCUUAAGAUUAUAUCACAUUAAUCAGUUUCUACUUAAAUUUCCAUGAUGAGUAAAGGGGAUUGGGAAGAGGUACACACCAAGAGGAUCUUCCUAUGGCCUUGACAACUACAAAUAAUAUACUCUCUACAGUGCCUCUUCUCAUGAAUAGCUAUUGGCAGCUUCAGCCUUACUUGGAUCUUCACCAAAGUAAGCUCCUCACUUACGAACAGUAUGGUAUGAGAUGUCAGAAUGUUUCAGGAAACCAAAUGUAUGAUCUGCAAGAAGAAAAUAACUCCAAGGAGAGAUGAGCUCUGCCUUCAAUUCAUUAAGGAUUUUUGGAUGAAACAUCUGCAGAGGGCCUGGAAGACUCACUGGGUGUCCUGAUUUGAAUGAUAAACAUAUCAUUUCUGCAUUUAGUAAGAACUUGGAGCAGAGAUGAGCAAAGUCAAGAACUUUCUGACUAAUACAAGGAGCAGAAGUGAAAACGGAACUUGAUAUGAUUGAUAAAACAUCAGAGGAUCUUGUCUAUAGGUUUACUUCAGCUCUGCACCGUGCCAUUUUCAAGAUCCAGCCUCUGUCUGGUGAACAAUUAAUACUGUGGCAAAGGAAAAUGAGAUCAUGAGUGAACUGAAGACGUUUACACGGAAACUGAAGCAAAUUAUCCAACAACUGGGUCCCAGUAAACCCUAGUUUAUCUCUGCAUGGACUUGACUUCUAAAGGUUCGUUUCGAACAUCUAAACUUCCCAAAAUACACACGGAGCGCCUCCGGGUGCGCACACGCGCGCUCUCACACCCCACUCGAGUACACAACCCCGUCUGCGU